Sebastes umbrosus (honeycomb rockfish) is the source of this 731-nucleotide long non-coding RNA. RefSeq lists it as uncharacterized. The transcript is spliced from 3 exons. NCBI's taxonomy places the organism in Eukaryota, Metazoa, Chordata, Actinopteri, Perciformes, Sebastidae. The record is from RefSeq and is a predicted model, not a curated record.
AGAUGUGGAAACCUGGCUGCAGGGAUUUGCUCCCAUUCAGUCACAAGAGCAUUAUGGAGCGUUUUCCCCACAGGACCUUUCCCAGGGGACCAAGAACCUUUGGAAAAAUUAAAGUUUGACCUUCUGCCUGAUUAUUUGGCGUUUGGGUUCCUGUCUGCUUCUUGUUGGAUUCGUUUGCCUGUUUUGGACCUCCUCUCUGGUUUUGACCCUCACACGUCUCAUGGUCCCGCGAUCGGGUCAACAUCUCUUCCACGUCAAAAUGAGCUCUCAGAUCAGUGACAGCACGUGAAAACAUCACUCAGCAGAAGGGACUUAACGCAAACAUAACAACAACUUGAUAUUUAUAUCAAAAGCAUCUUGGGAGCUGCUGGCUUAGCCGGUGUAAUCAGGUUAGCGAAACGUCUCCUGAGGGGGAAGUAAUCUACUUUGAUGCUCUGUCUGCUACCAAAACAUUGAAUCUGUGUCAGGCUGCAGCUAGCAACCAGUCCAGCCCACUCUGUAAUUCAAUUACAGUAGUCGACUCAUGUCCUACUUAACGUCCAGGCAGCCAACGGCCUGAUUACGGAAGCCACAAAUUGUCAAAUACAAAACCUGAAUAAACAUUUAUGUCUUUCAAAACUAGGAGGGUUGUAAUUAUCCUUCCGUAAUGUUAUUUCACAGGACAGAUGAAGUGCAGCACAGGAGUUCACGUAGAAAUUCAAACAGUUCUUCCUGCUGCAAUUAGACUUCUC